CGCACAUUGCGCCCUCUGGUAUUCCGGGGGGCAUGCCUGUUCGAGCGUCAUUACAACCCUCAAGCCCCGCUUGGUGUUGGGCGUCACCGCGUGCGGUGCGCCUCAAACGUAGUGGCGGCGCCGUCCGGCUCCUAGCGCAGUAACAACUCUCGCUAUGGGGACCGGGCGCGUGCCCGCCAGCAACCCACACUUUUCAAAGGUUGACCUCGGAUCAGGUAGGGAUACCCGCUGAACUUAA
This 238-nucleotide unclassified non-coding RNA is filed under the name fungal sp. Its description in RNAcentral is "partial contains 5.8S ribosomal RNA, internal transcribed spacer 2, and large subunit ribosomal RNA". The record is from RNAcentral. Lineage: Eukaryota; Fungi.